Molecule: ribosomal RNA, 460 nt
Filed under: uncultured bacterium
Lineage: Bacteria
Description: partial 16S ribosomal RNA
Rfam family: Bacterial small subunit ribosomal RNA
Source: RNAcentral
CCUACGGGCGGCAGCAGUGAGGAAUAUUGGUCAAUGGACGAGAGUCUGAACCAGCCAAGUAGCGUGAAGGAUGACUGCCCUAUGGGUUGUAAACUUCUUUUAUAUGGGAAUAAAACGUUCCACGUGUGGGAUUUUGUAUGUACCAUAUGAAUAAGGAUCGGCUAACUCCGUGCCAGCAGCCGCGGUAAUACGGAGGAUCCGAGCGUUAUCCGGAUUUAUUGGGUUUAAAGGGAGCGUAGGUGGAUUGUUAAGUCAGUUGUGAAAGUUUGCGGCUCAACCGUAAAAUUGCAGUUGAAACUGGCAGUCUUGAGUACAGUAGAGGUGGGCGGAAUUCGGGGUGUAGCGGUGAAAUGCUUAGAUAUCACGAAGAACUCCGAUUGCGAAGGCAGUUCACUGGACUGCAACUGACACUGAGGCUCGAAAGUGUGGGUAUCAAACAGGAUUAGAUACCCCAGUAGUC